RNAcentral lists this long non-coding RNA (1010 nucleotides) under Prunus dulcis (almond). RNAcentral's name for it is "sRNA ncRNA". Lineage: Eukaryota; Viridiplantae; Streptophyta; Magnoliopsida; Rosales; Rosaceae. The record is from RNAcentral.
UUAUUAACAACAAAAGACAAUGAUAUUUAACAUUUAAACAUAUAGCUUCAAACAUAUAUGAAUAGUACAGAGCCGAUAUAAACUUCAAUGGGCAAGGAUGUCCUAUCAUACGUUGGCUUCCAUUUUGUUAUAUCAUAUGUAAUCCUCAAAUGAUGCACUAACAUACUACUCAUAUAUAACAAAAUACCAAAGAAACUAUUAAUUUAACCUUUCAGAACUUUUGUCUAAUUUAUAUUUUAUAUUAGCAUUACACAUAAAAACAGAGGCCCUGCCACAAGCCUCAGAUAUUGGAUCAGGUCUUAUUUUAGACAAUUAUCUGAUUUCUUAUUCCAUUACAUGCAUGCAUGCAUGCUUAGAGCUUGUUCUUAUUCAGUACUCGUUGCCAAAGCCGUUAAAUCCCUCAGCGCGGUUCUUGUUCCCGUUCAGUUUAUUGUUCUCAAAGCCGAAUUCAGAAUCGCCAUUAUAGGGGCCGCCGCCACGCCUGUUGCCAAAGUUGUUAAAUCCAAAAGCUGGGCCCUCGUUGUUGCUAACCUCAUUCCCUUUAAAAUUGAAAUUUCUGCGGUUGGGAUUUCUAGAAGCAGGAUUUCCACCAUAUCCACCACCCCCAUAGCCACCGUUUCCUCCGCCAUAGCCACCCCCGUUUCCAUAGCCGCCACCGUUUCCGUAGCAGCCUCCGUGGCCACCGCCGUUGUUGCAUUGUUGUUGUUCUGGUUUGGGAAGACAUUUUUGCUUGGAUUUGGAUCUAUCUUCAGGAUGGUUAUCUGUGAGCCAGUUGAGGACCCCUCGGGCCGUGCCAUGGAUGGCACCGUCCAGAGGGGCCAAAGGAAAAGUCACUACAUCGGCAACCCUGUGGAGGGUGUCGAAGCCUCCCUCAACGGUGUCUCUCACCUGAUUUUUCACUUGUUUACUCGUCAUUGUCUUGCUGAUUAGUUUUAAGUUGGAAUUUGUGUGUUUGCUUGGAUGAUCGACUUAAUGCCUCAUGGUCUCCGUUUAUAGAUUUUGGCAUGCGC